This is a long non-coding RNA of Gasterosteus aculeatus aculeatus (three-spined stickleback), 2065 nucleotides long. The record is from Ensembl. Lineage: Eukaryota; Metazoa; Chordata; Actinopteri; Perciformes; Gasterosteidae.
ACACGAUCGGCGCUACUGCAAGCUGAGAGAAGCACCACACGCCCACUUCCAUCAGUUCGGCCAAUUCCUGAGAAGUGAUACAGUCUCUGAAUCUCAAAUCGUUUGGCCAGCGAUCUUUCUGGAGGCGGAAUCUGCAAACGAGAUCACCCGGAGGCGACUAACCCAUUCUCCCAGAUGCGCAGCUGACUCGUCGAAGGAGGUUACCGGGGAGAAAUGACAAAGCCGUGUGUGAUGCACCGCCGAACUGAGCUGCAUCUUACAGCCCUCCUCCCCACCGGGCCUACGCCUGCGAAUUUAUACAUAUUUCAACCAUUUAUAAUGCAAAAACCUGUUCAUGCCAAAUGAAGGCAUCAUAAUGCCUUAAUAGCCAGUGAGCUUUACCCUGCUGCUUCCGCAUAAUCUGUUCAAUUUUGACAAGCUGUGAAAUUAAAUUUUUGUGUGACUUUAUUAUCAUUGUGGCCACUAGAGCCGUAAUAUUCCCGUCUAUUCGAUUCUGUAGCUCGGCGUUCCUCAUCAGACAACACUUGUUUAGACGGUUGCGCCCCCGAACUCACACACACACAGCAACACGUCAAUGGCGUCCACUAUCAAAAGCAUUUCAAUUGAUGGAAAUCUUAAAAUGUGGGGCAGGAGAGAGAAGUUACAACGACUGAACACAUGUAUUUAGUUAAAUACAUUUUCUUGUGAAUAUAUGAACAUUUCUGCUUGUCAAACUGCAGAUCUGUGAAGCUGAUGCAAGUUUCAAACUUCCAUUUUUUUCACUCGGCCACAUUUUUCUCUGUAUUUCUUUCUAUCCUCUGCCUUCCAUUUUCCCUCUAAUUCUGUCUUUUUUUCCCCCCUAUCUUUCCGAGGACAGGCUUUGUGGCUAGCUAAGCCGGCCCGGAUCGCAUUUCGCUGUCAAAUAAAAUGUCCCUGGCAAGCUGCGUCCCGGCAGUCGAAUAUAAGUAGGACGCUUUGUGUCGUGUCAUUUGGAGGCGAAGGACACAAGAUUCCUCCGCCGGCGCUCGACCAAACGCAAGGCCUCAAAUUAAAAGGCCAUUACGCGGCGGGUUUGCGAGGCUUGUUUGGGUUCGUUCAGACAGCCGUGGGUUGCGGCCUUCCAUUCCACCUCCAUUCUGGUGAGUUUUUAACGUGUGUAUUUGUGUGAGUGUUGAAAAGUCCUGGUAGACGCAGACGGAUGAAAAAAAAAAAAAAACGUCCUCACUUCAAAAGAGGAGCCAUUUUUUUUGCUCCCACUUGUGUUUGGAUUUAAGGUUAAAUCCGGCUCAAGUUGAGCUUGGGGUGAAGACAGAAACCGAGCUGUAGCGCUGACGGUGUCUACAGCAGAACGGGUUUACCCUUUCCCUCUCGCUGCUAACUUCCAAACUGUUUACUGUCAUGACUGACGAGAUCUCUCACAUACAUCUCCCAGAUUUCCAACAUGAAGGCGCUCGUGUAAAAUAUUUACUUGCUGCCAGGAAGUAAACAAGUGCCCCCUCGCCGGCUUGUUGGGACCAAUCAAAAGUUUGGGCAAAGGACAUGAAAGGCUGACACAUCUUGUGGCUUGUAGGGUGGGGGGUGUGGGGGGGUGUCGGGGGUCCGUCUGUGUGAUUGCGUGUGUACGUAUGUAUGUUAAUAUCUAAGCUGGUAUUCCUGCAGAAGAUCCGUGCGCACGCCAGUGUUUACCUCCUCUGUGUGUGAUGAAGCUGAACCGCGUGUGACCCCCCCCCCCCCCUGCAGAUCAUACGAGCUGCCGCAUUGGUUUCUGUGAAAUAAAUGAAAACAUGGCAAUUUUCUUCUCUGCAUGCAGGAAGACGAAAACAUGCCGUCGAGUCGAGUGUUUAAUUCACAGGGUUAGUUUAGUGUGCGCUUCCAUCGCAUCUGGAAUGAGAAGCACCGUGCUUCAUGUGUAGACUGUUGUUUACUUCAUUCGCUCGCAUCACUAUUUCUGUUACCAAGGGAACGCUCAAUCAAAAGGGUUACAGUUUGAUUUGGUGGGUUUCGGUUAGUGUGUUAGCACUAUGUGCAGCAUGGCCUGCCUGAUUAGCAUAUUCCAUCAUGUUAAACAAAUAGGAGACAAUGAGGG